UACGUAGGUGGCAAGCGUUGUCCGGAUUUACUGGGCGUAAAGGGCGUGCAGGCGGUCUGUUAAGUGCAGGGUGAAAGCUCCCGGCUCAACUGGGAGAGGUCCUUGCAUACUGGCGGACUUGAGGGGGGUAGAGGAAAGUGGAAUUCCUGGUGUAGCGGUGGAAUGCGCAGAUAUCAGGAGGAACACCGAUGGCGAAGGCAGCUCGCUGGGACGGUACUGACGCUAAGGCGCGAAAGCGUGGGGAGCGAACAGG
RNAcentral lists this ribosomal RNA (253 nucleotides) under uncultured bacterium. RNAcentral's name for it is "partial 16S ribosomal RNA". It matches the Rfam family "Bacterial small subunit ribosomal RNA", at positions 524 to 776 of the family's 1533-position model. The record is from RNAcentral.